CAUUCUUUCAUCUCUGUUUGGUUGAGUUGUUCCUUAUCCUUGUUCCAGACUAGAGUUGAGGCCCAGAGGGACUUGAGGUUCAUUGCCAGUUCUUGGGAGGUGAAGCUGUUUCACUAUAUGGGGAAUGUUCUAUCUGGAAGAGGGGGUCAGGAGAAGGCUAAUAGGGGGAGGAUCCUCAAGGUGCAGGGACUCUGACGCCAAUGCCUUGCUCGCAGGUUGCCCUGGAGGCCCCUGGCCAGGCCUGAACCUCUGCCACCAUGGCCAUUGUGCACACUCUGCCAGUGCCACUGGAGCCCGCACGUGAGACAGCCACUGCCCCACAAACUCCAGCAAUGGGCAGCGUGAGCAGUCUUAUCUCAGGCCGGCCCUGUCCUGGGGGACCUGCUCCUCAACGCCACCAUGGUGUCCCUGGGCCUACCUUCUUCCGCCAGCAGGAUGGGCUGCUCCGGGGUGGCUAUGAGGCCCAGGAACCACUCUGCCCAGCUGUGCCACCCAGGAAGACUGU
RNAcentral lists this long non-coding RNA (505 nucleotides) under Rattus norvegicus (Norway rat). Its description in RNAcentral is "long non-coding RNA NONRATT001770". The record is from RNAcentral. Lineage: Eukaryota; Metazoa; Chordata; Mammalia; Rodentia; Muridae.